GACAGAGGGUGCAAACGUUGUUCGGAAUUACUGGGCGUAAAGCGAGUGUAGGUGGCCGCGUAAGUCGGAUGUGAAAUCCCCGGGCUCAACCUGGGAAUUGCAUUCGAUACUGGAUAGCUAGAGUUCGGCAGAGGGAAGUGGAAUUUCGGGUGUAGCGGUGAAAUGCGUAGAUAUCCGAAGGAACAUCAGUGGCGAAAGCGACUUUCUGGACAGAUACUGACACUGAGGCACGAAAGCGUGGGGAGCAAACAGG
This 253-nucleotide ribosomal RNA is filed under the name uncultured bacterium. Its description in RNAcentral is "partial 16S ribosomal RNA". It matches the Rfam family "Bacterial small subunit ribosomal RNA", at positions 524 to 776 of the family's 1533-position model. The record is from RNAcentral.